AUUAGAUACCCUGGUAGUCCACGCCCUAAACGAUGUCUACUAGUUGUCGGGUUUUAAUUAACUUGGUAACGCAGCUAACGCGUGAAGUAGACCGCCUGGGGAGUACGGUCGCAAGAUUAAAACUCAAAGGGAAUUGACGGGGACCCGCACAAGCGGUGGAUGAUGUGGAUUAAUUCGAUGCAACGCGAAAAACCUUACCUACCCUUGACAUGUCAGGAAGUCUGGAGAGAUCUGGAUGUGCCCGAAAGGGAACCUGAACACAGGUGCUGCAUGGCUGUCGUCAGCUCGUGUCGUGAGAUGUUGGGUUAAGUCCCGCAACGAGCGCAACCCUUGUCAUUAGUUGCUACGCAAGAGCACUCUAAUGAGACUGCCGGUGACAAACCGGAGGAAGGUGGGGAUGACGUCCAGUCCUCAUGGCCCUUAUGGGUAGGGCUUCACACGUCAUACAAUGGAUGGUACAAAGGGUCGCCAACCCGCGAGGGGGAGCCAAUCCCAUAAAGCCAUUCGUAGUCCGGAUCGCAGUCUGCAACUCGACUGCGUGAAGUCGGAAUCGCUAGUAAUCGUGGAUCAGAAUGUCACGGUGAAUACGUUCCCGGGUCUUGUACACACCGCCCGUCACACCAUGGGAGCGGGUUCUGCCAGAAGUAGUUAGCCUAACCUGCAAAGGAGGGCGAUUACCACGGCAGGGUUCGUGACUGGGGUGAAGUCGUAACAAGGUGACC
This 722-nucleotide ribosomal RNA is filed under the name uncultured bacterium. Its description in RNAcentral is "bacterial SSU rRNA". It matches the Rfam family "Bacterial small subunit ribosomal RNA", at positions 777 to 1501 of the family's 1533-position model. The record is from RNAcentral.